AGGAUGAACGCUGGCGGCGUGCUUAACACAUGCAAGUCGAACGGUGAACACGGAGCUUGCUCUGUGGGAUCAGUGGCGAACGGGUGAGUAACACGUGAGCAACCUGCCCCUGACUCUGGGAUAAGCGCUGGAAACGGCGUCUAAUACUGGAUAUGUGACGUGACCGCAUGGUCUGCGUUUGGAAAGAUUUUUCGGUUGGGGAUGGGCUCGCGGCCUAUCAGCUUGUUGGUGAGGUAAUGGCUCACCAAGGCGUCGAUGGGUAGCCGGCCUGAGAGGGUGACCGGCCACACUGGGACUGAGACACGGCCCAGACUCCUACGGGAGGCAGCAGUGGGGAAUAUUGCACAAUGGGCGAAAGCCUGAUGCAGCAACGCCGCGUGAGGGAUGACGGCCUUCGGGUUGUAAACCUCUUUUAGCAGGGAAGAAGCGAAAGUGACGGUACCUGCAGAAAAAGCGCCGGCUAACUACGUGCCAGCAGCCGCGGUAAUACGUAGGGCGCAAGCGUUAUCCGGAAUUAUUGGGCGUAAAGAGCUCGUAGGCGGUUUGUCGCGUCUGCUGUGAAAUCCCGAGGCUCAACCUCGGGCCUGCAGUGGGUACGGGCAGACUAGAGUGCGGUAGGGGAGAUUGGAAUUCCUGGUGUAGCGGUGGAAUGCGCAGAUAUCAGGAGGAACACCGAUGGCGAAGGCAGAUCUCUGGGCCGUAACUGACGCUGAGGAGCGAAAGGGUGGGGAGCAAACAGGCUUAGAUACCCUGGUAGUCCACCCCGUAAACGUUGGGAACUAGUUGUGGGGCCCAUUCCACGGAUUCCGUGACGCAGCUAACGCAUUAAGUUCCCGCCCUGGGGAGUACGGCC
Molecule: ribosomal RNA, 853 nt
Filed under: Microbacterium sp. A33
Lineage: Bacteria; Bacillati; Actinomycetota; Actinomycetes; Micrococcales; Microbacteriaceae
Description: bacterial SSU rRNA
Rfam family: Bacterial small subunit ribosomal RNA
Source: RNAcentral